Molecule: ribosomal RNA, 468 nt
Filed under: uncultured bacterium
Lineage: Bacteria
Description: partial 16S ribosomal RNA
Rfam family: Bacterial small subunit ribosomal RNA
Source: RNAcentral
GACGAACGCUGGCGGCGUGCUUAACACAUGCAAGUCGAACGGAAAGGCCCUGCUUUUGUGGGGUGCUCGAGUGGCGAACGGGUGAGUAACACGUGAGUAACCUGCCCUUGACUUUGGGAUAACUUCAGGAAACUGGGGCUAAUACCGGAUAGGAGCUCCUGCUGCAUGGUGGGGGUUGGAAAGUUUCGGCGGUUGGGGAUGGACUCGCGGCUUAUCAGCUUGUUGGUGGGGUAGUGGCUUACCAAGGCUUUGACGGGUAGCCGGCCUGAGAGGGUGACCGGCCACAUGGGUACUGAGAUACGGCCCAGACUCCUACGGGAGGCAGCAGUGGGGAAUAUUGCACAAUGGGCGGGAGCCUGAUGCAGCAACGCCGCGUGCGGGAUGACGGCCUUCGGGUUGUAAACCGCUUUCGCCUGUGACGAAGCGUGAGUGACGGUAAUGGGUAAAGAAGCACCGGCUAACUACGUG